GCGACUACUACUGCUUCUACAUUCCCUCAUUAGAGGCGGCCGUGCUGGAAGACUGGUUGCUUCCUCGCCCUGCACUACUACUGGUUCUGCACUCGUUUUCAACUGCGUACCCAGCGUGCCCCUGUACUACUCUACGAUCUGCGCUCCAAAAGAUUACUUCGGCCACGAGCAUCACCUGUUACAGGAGCGGCUAAUACUGCUUCUACAUUCCCUGCCAGUGGCGUCCAGCUUGUAGACUGGACUUGUCUCCUCGCCCUGCACUACCGCUGGUGCUGCACUCCAGUUUUCGUCUGCGGUGGCUACCUACCACGCUCCUGCACAUCGACUCCCCGUUCUGCGUUCCAAAAGAGAUUACUUCGGGCACCAGCAUCACCUGUUCCAUGAGCGACUGCUAUUGCUUCUACGUUCUCUCGCGGACGGCGUCCUGCUGACAGACUGGACUUAGCCUGGCGCCCUUGCCCUUAAUUCUGGUUCCCAGCGUUUGCCGUCGGUUGUGGUGCAAGAGAAGUGUUCCAGCACGCUCAUUUCAAAGAACAUCCCUGGUCUUUCCUCACGAGCAACCAUCUCACGCACGGUCGUCCUGCCGCGUCCUCUAUGCAACAAGCAAGCUUCCUCAUACUCGUGAGCGCGUCGCACGUCUCCGCCAUGGCGGUGUCCUGCACUGUGUUGACGGCGUGUUCAGGCUCUGAAGGACUGCGUGUCGUCACCAUCCCGCGAGAGUCCAUCGGAUGUGCUCCUACAGUUCGCUGUUGCCUUUUUCCACAGGCAUAUUCAACAAGUUUAGCGUAGUAAGGGGGGGCUUUUCUGCUUUGGAAUAAGGGUACGUUGCUCUGCUAAUCGACGGAGCUUCUAGGAAUCGGGUUAAUAUGAAACAGAACAGUAAGAAAAAGUUCUCGUUACGUGGACACCACUGUCCCUAAGGGAUGUCAAUGUUUUCAUGAGCCGAUCUGUAAAUCUUUGGUGGCGAGAGUAAUGGACGCUCGUUGACAUUGUGCACUUUUAUAGUGGCAACUUGGUGUGUGUGUGUGCGUGUGUGUUGGUCUUCGUACACGUGUCGCCCACUCAGUGCUCCAUUUUUUUUUCGAUCGAGAACGCAUGAUACUUGCUCCACUGCUUGCUGGCGCAAAUAUUUCUUUAUGUUGGUAUCAUUUCCAGCGUCACAGUUCCUUCUUUUCCCGGUUUAUUCCUGUUGAGAGGUUCCUGGUUUGAUGGUUUACUGUCGUCUAUGGACAUCCGCUUUUGGAUUGGUCAAACCGCUGGUUUCUUUGACUUUGAUCCUUAGGUUAACCUCUGUGCUCGUUUCAGCAUUCAGCGCAUUCACGGUCGUUCCUGGAGGUUCCUGGUUUGAUGGUUUACUAUCGUCUAUGGACAUCCACUUUUGGACUGGUCGAACCGCUGGUUUCUUUGGCUUUGAUCCUUGCGUUGACCUCUGUGCUCGUUUCAGCAUUCAGCGCAUGCACGGUCGUUCUUGGAGGUUCCUGGUUUGAUGGUUUACUAUCGUCUAUGGAUAUCCGCUUUUUGGUUAGUCGAACCGCUGUUUCUUUGGCUUUUAUCCUUGAAUUGACCUCUGUGCUCGUUUCAGCAUUCAGCGCAUGCACGGUCGUUCCUGAAGGUUCCUGGUUUGAUGGUUUACUAUUUUCUAAAGACAUCCGCUUUUUGGUUGAUCGAACCGCUGGUUUCUUUGGCUGUGGUCCAUGGGUUGACCUCUGUGCUCGUUUCAGCAUUCAGCGCAUGCACGGUUGUUCCUGGAGGUUCCUGGUUUGAUUGUUUACUAUCGUCUAUGGACAUCCGCUUUUGGACUGGUCGAGCCGCUGGUUUCUUUGGCUGUGGUCCUUGGGUUGACCUCUGUGCUCGUUUCAGCAUUCAGCGCAUGCACGGUUGUUCCUGGAGGUUCUUGGUUUUGAUGGUUUACUAUCGUCUAUGGAGAUCCGCUUUUUGGUUGGUCGAACCGCUGCUUUCUUUGGCUUUGAUCCUUGGGUUGACCUCUGUGCUCGUUUCAGCAUUCAGCGCAUGCACGGCCGUUCCUGCAGGUUCCUAGUUUCAUGGUUUAAUGUCUAUGGACAUCCGCUUUUGGCCUGGUCGAACCGCUGGUUUCUUUGGCUUUGAUCCUUGGGUUGACAUCUGUGCUCGUUUGAGCAUUCAGCGCAUGCACGGUCGUUCCUGGAGGUUCCUGGUUUGAUGGUCUACUAUCGUCUAUGGAUAUCCGCUUUUUGGUUAGUCGAACCGCUGGUUUCUUUGGGUUUUAUCCUUGGGUUGACCUCUGUGCUCGUUUCAGCAUUUAGCGCAUGCACGGGCGUUCCUGGAGGUUCCUGGUUUGGUGGUUUACUAUCGUCUAUGGACAUCCGCGUUUGGAUUGGUCGAACCGCUGGCUUCUUUGGCUUUGAUCCUUGGAUUGACCUCUGUGCUCGUUUCAGCAUUCAGCGCAUGAACGGUUGUUCCUGGAGGUUCCUGGUUUGAUGGUUUACUAUCGUCUAUGGAUAUCCGCUUUUUGGUAAGUCGAACCGCUGGUUUCUUUGGCUUUUAUCCUUGGGUCUACCUCUGUGCUCGUUUCAACAUUCAGCGCAUGCACGGUCGUUCUUGGAGGUUCCUGGUUUGAUGGUUUACUAUCUUCUAUGGCUAUCCGCUUUUUGGUUUGUCGAACCGCUAUUUCUUUGGCUUUGAUCCUUGGGUUGACCUCUGUGCUCGUUUCAGCAUUCAGCGCACGCACGGUCGUUCCUGGAGGUUCCUUGUUUGAUGGUUUACUAUUGUCUAAAGACAUCCGCUUUUUGGUUGAUCGAACCGCUGGUUUCUUUGGCUGUGGUCCUUGGGUUGACCUCAGUGCUCGUUUCAGCAUUCAGCGCAUGCACGGUUGUUCCUGGAGGUUCCUGGUUUGAUGGUUUACUAUCGUCUAUGGACAUCCGCUUUUGGACUGGUCGAGCCGCUGGUUUCUUUGGCUGUGGUCCUUGGGUUGACCUCCGUGCUCGUUUCAGCAUUCAGCUCAUGCACGGUCGUUCUUGGAGGUUCCUGGUUUGAUGGCUUACUAUCGUCUAUGGAUAUCCGCUUUUUGGUUAGUCGAACAGCUGUUUCUUUGGCUUUUAUCCUUGAGUUGACCGCUGUGCUCGUUUCAGCAUUCAGCGCAUGCACGGUCGUUCCUGAAGGUUCCUGGUUUGAUGGUUUACUAUUGUCUAAAGACAUCCGCUUUUUGGUUGAUCGAACCGCUGGUUUAUUUGGCUGUGGUCCUUGGGUUGACCUCUGUGCUCGUUUCAGCAUUCAGCUCAUGCACGGGUGUUCCUGGAAGUUCCUGGUUUGAUGGUUGACUAUUGCCUAAAGACAUACGCUUUUUCGUUGAUCGAACCGCCGGUUUCUUUGGCUGUGGUCCUUGGGUUGACCUCUGUGCUCGUUUCAGCAUUCAGCGCAUGCACGGUCGUUCCUGGUUUGAUGGUUUACUAUCGUCUAUGGACAUCCGCUUUUGGAUUGGUCGAACCGCUGGUUUCUUUGGCUUUGAUCCUUGGGUUGACCUCUGUGCUCGUUUCAGCAUUCAGCGCAUGCACGGUCGUUCCUGGAGGUUCCUGGUUUGAUGGUUUACUGUCGUCUAUGGACAUCCGCUUUUGGCCUGGUCGAACCGCUGGUUUCUGUGGCUUUGAUCCUUCGGUUGACAUCUGUGCUCGUUUCAGCAUUCAGCGCAUGCACGGUCGUUCCUGGAGGUUCCUGGUUUGAUGGUUUACUAUCGUCUAUGGAUAUCCGCUUUUGGAUUGGUCGAACCGCUGGUUUCUUUGGCUUUGAUCCUUGGGUUGACCUCUGUGCUCGUUUCAGCAUUCAGCGCAUGCACGGUCGCUCCUGGAGGUUCCUGGUUUGAUGGUUUACUAUCGUCUAUGGACAUCAGCUUUUGGAGUGGUCGAACCGCUGGUUUCUUUGGCUUCGAUCCUUGGGUUGACCUCUGUGCUCGUUUCAGCGUUCAGCGCAUGCACGGUCGUUCCUGGAGGUUCCUGGUUUGAUGGUUUACUAUCGUCUAUAGAUAUCCGCUUUUUGGUUAGUGGAACCGCUGGUUUCUUUGGGUUUUAUCCUUGGGUUGACCUCUGUGCUCGUUUCAGCAUUCAGCGCAUGCACGGUCGCUCCUGGAGGUUCCUGGUUUGAUGGUUUACUAUUGUCUAAAGUUAUCCGCUUUUUGGUUGAUCGAACCACUGGUUUCUUUGGCUUUGAUCCUUGGGUGUACCUCUGUGCUCGUUUCAGCAUUCAGCGCAUGCACAGUCGUUCCUGGAGGUUCCUGGUUUGAUGGUUUACUAUCGUCUAUGGACAUCCGCUUUUGGACUGGUCGAGCCGCUGGUUUAUUUGGCUUUCAUCCGUGGGUUGACUUUUGUGCUCGUUUCAGUAUUCAGCGCAUGCACGGUCGCCCCUGGAGUUUCCUGGUUUGAUGGUUUACUAUCGUCUAGACAUCCGUUUUUGGUUGGUCGAACCGCUGGUUUCUUUGGCUGUGGUCCUUGGGUUGACCUCUGUGCUCGUUUCAGCAUUCAGCGCAUGCACGGUCGCUCCUGGAGGUUCCUGGUUUGAUGGUUUACUAUCGUCUAUGGACAUCAGCUUUUGGAGUGGUCGAACCGCUGGUUUCUUUCGCUUUGAUCCUUGGGUUGACCGCUGUGCUAGUUUCAGCAUUCAGCGCACGAACGGUCAUUCCUAAGGUUCCUGGUUUGAUUGUUUACUAUCGUCUAUGGAGAUCCGCUGUUUGGUUGAUCGAACCGCUGGUUUCCUUGGCUGUGGUCCUUGGGUUGACCUCUGUGCUCGUUUCAGCAUUCAGCGCAUGCACGGUUGUUCCUGAAGGUUCCUGGUUUGAUGGUUUACUAUCCUCUCUGGACAUCCACUUUCGGACUGGUCGAACCGCUGGUUUCUUUGGCUUUGAUCCUUGGGUUGACCUCUGUGCUCGUUUCAGCAUUCAGCGCAUGCACGGUCGUUCUUGGAGGUUCCUGGUUUGAUGGCUUACUAUCGUCUAUGGAUAUCCGCUUUUUGGUUAGUCGAACAGCUGUUUCUUUGGCUUUUAUCCUUGAGUUGACCUCUGUGCUCGUUUCAGCAUUCAGCGCAUGCACGGUCGUUCCUGAAGGUUGCUGGUUUGAUGGUUUACUAUUGUCUAAAGACAUCCGCUUUUUGGUUGAUCGAACCGCUGGUUUCUUUGGCUGUGGUCCUUGGGUUGACCUCUGUGCUCGUUUCAGCAUUCAGCGCAUGCAUGGUUGCUCCUGGAGGUUCCUGGUUUGAUGGUUUACUAUCGUCUAUGGACAUCCGCUUUUGGACUGGUCGAGCCGCUGGUUUCUUUGGCUGUGGUCCUUGGGUUGACCUCUCUGCUCGUUUCAGCAUUCAGCGCAUGCGCGGUUGUUCCUGGAGGUUCUUGGUUUGAUGGUUUACUAUCGUCUAUGGAAAUCUGCUUUUUGGUUGGUCGAACCGCUGCUUUCUUUGGCUUUGAUCCUUGGGUUGACCUCUGUGCUCGUUUCAGCAUUCAGCGCAUGCACGGCCGUUCCUGCAGGUUCGUAGUUUUAUUGUUUACUGUCUAUGGACAUCCGCUUUUGGCCUGGCCGAACCGCUGGUUUCUUUGGCUUUGACCCUUGGGUUGACCUCUGUGCUCGUUUCAGCAUUCAGCGCAUGCACGGUCGUUCUUGGAGGUUCCUGGUUUGAUGGCUUACUAUCGUCUAUGGAUAUCCGCUUUUUGGUUAGUCGAACAGCUGUUUCUUUGGCUUUUAUCCUUGAGUUGACCGCUGUGCUCGUUUCAGCAUUCAGCGCAUGCACGGUCGUUCCUGAAGGUUCCUGGUUUGAUGGUUUACUAUUGUCUAAAGACAUCCGCUUUUUGGUUGAUCGAACCGCUGGUUUAUUUGGCUGUGGUCCUUGGGUUGACCUCUGUGCUCGUUUCAGCAUUCAGCGCAUGCACGGUCGUUCUUGGAGGUUCCUGGUUUGAUGGCUUACUAUCGUUUAUGGAUAUCCGCUUUUUGGUUAGUCGAACAGCUGUUUCUUUGGCUUUGAUCCUUGGGUUGACAUCUGUGCUCGUUUGAGCAUACAGCGCAUGCACGGUCGUUCCUGGAGGUUCCUGGUUUGAUGGUCUACUAUCGUCUAUGGACAUCCGCUGUUGGAUUGGUCGAACCGCUGGUUUCUUUGGCUUUGAUCCUUAGGUUGACCUGUGUGCUCGUCUUAGCAUUCAGCGCAUGCACGGUCGUUCCUGGAGGUUCCUGGUUUGAUGGUUUACUAUCGUCUAUGGACAUCCGCUUUUGGACUAGUCGAACCGCUGGUUUCUUUGGCUUUGAUCCUUGGGUUGACGUCUGUGCUCGUUUCAGCAUUCAGCGCAUGCACGGUCGUUCCUAGAGGUUCCUGGUUUGAUGGUUUACUCUCAUCUAUGGACAUCCGCUUUUGGACUGGUCGAACCGCUGGUUUCUUUGGCUUUGAUCCUUGGUUUGACCUCUGCUCGAUUCAGCAUUCUGCGCGUGCACGGUCGUUCUUGGAAGUUCCUGGUUUGAUGGUUUACUAUAGUCUAUGGAUAUCCGCUUUUUGGUUAGUCGAAACGCUGUUUCUUGGGCUUUUAUCCUUGGGUUGACAUCUGUGCUCGUUUCAGCAUUCAGCGCAUGCGCGGUCGUUCCUGGAGGUUCCUGGUUUGAUGGUUUACUAUAAUCUAUGGACAUUCGCUUUUGGAUUGGUCGAACCGCUGGUUUCUUUGGCUUUGUUCCUUGGGUUGACCUUUGUGCUCGUUUCAGCAUUCAGCGCAUGCACGGUCGUUUCUGGAGGUUCCUGGUUUGAUGGUUUACUAUCGUCUAUGGACAUCCGCUUUUUGGUUGGUCGAACCGCUGGUUUCUUUGGCAUUGGUCCUUGGGUUGAUCUGUGCUCGUUUCAGCAUUCAACGGAUUUGUUCAGGCGUCUUUCUCGUGCCAGGAACGGUCUUCACACAUACUCGGUUCUUCCACGUCGCUCAUCACUGACUCGAAAAGAAUAACACACCACUACAAAAGGACACAAUGUCAAUGAACGGGAAAGGGGAGGGUAUUCUCGCCAACUGAAAUUUCCUUAUUUGCUCAUGGUGAUAAUGACGUCCAUCUUUAAGACUGGUUGGUGGUAAGUGCCACCAGGCUCGCUGUUUAGUUUUUUUGGUGUCCUUGACUCACCAAACGCUUUUGUGGAUCUACAUGGUCGAAGUUAUGUAGUACCUGUCGUUUGUUUAUCGGACAGUGCUACCCGCUGUCGUCGCUUGUUCAACACAUAUACUGCGCCGUAGUUUGAUAUGUGUCCACAACUAUCGCGUACUCUGCAAGAUCGGUAGGAAUGAAGGACCAUGGCGCCCUUCACGCGGCUGUGACGUCAUUGCCUGCCGACUGUAUUUCAGAUUACGAAUACCUAUGCAAUUUCAUGAUUAAAGUGCACCGCGUGAGCCAUUGUCAAACAGCUCUUUCGAAGGGGCUAAACGCCCUCCCAUUUUGCGUGUCGUGUGUAAACACACCUAGACAAGUGACGUGCAUGAGCACGCUCAAAGAAAUCUUCAUUCGAAAAUGUCCGCUUUACUUGUACAUUUUGUGUUGAAGUGAGUUAAGCUUACCAGAGUUUCCCCCCGUAAUUUUUCUGUACGCUGUGUUGGUCUCCAUUGCUCUUCGAAUGCAUCUCAAUGCGUUUGCUGUGAAUGUUUGAAUUUGCACAUGCUACAGCUAUUAUGCUAAUCUCAAUAUAAGGAGGCACACUUGAUUUAUUACGGAUUACUUUCAUUGUUCUCAACCUGUAAUAGCCUUACCUCUGCGUUGCUUCAUAACGAAAAUAUGAGCACUGUCCUUGGUAAAUGGUUACGUGUGCCGCAUUACUCUGCCCAUUUUUUUUUCGCUGCUUUCAUCCAUUGUGAUUAAAAACUCGGGCAAGCACGCAUGCGCGAUUGUGGUCACUCAAAUCCCUUUUUCUUAAAGGGACACUAAAGGCAGAUCACUCGACGUGGACUGUUUAAACAUUUUAUAUAAGCCUCGCAAUGUGUGUUUCGUGCCAAGAAAAGACUUGGCUUACGAGAAAAUUGCAUCUGAAGGGCCUGGAUACCUGUUUCGAAAUUGAAGUUUCCCGCCACCGAGCCCGGGGAGUGCUGACGUUGCAUACGCCAUCGCCACCCUUUCCUGCCGUCGAGGAGUAAAUUGGAGCCCGACAGACGGCGGAUUCGCCGCUGCAGCUGCUUCUUGGUCAAAUGGCGUGGACCGUUCGGGCAUCGCGCGACAUCACAUGGAAGCUGAACUCUAUGCUGCUAGCAGUUUGUGCGAGUAUCGCGUUCCAGCAAAACCAGCGUAGCACUACGCGAUAACUAAUGAAACGCGAAGCCAUGGGCGGCACGGAGUCGAGAGAAAACGAAACCUUUCGACCGACCGCGUCGGUGUCAGGGUUAUGUGAAUGAGCUUUCUUUUGUUUUGGGAAAGUGAAAUAGAACCGGACAAGCAGGAUUUUAUUUCGUCUUGUAAUACAAUGCAAGGACAUUUUGUGCAACGAGUGGUUUAGUACUAGUGACAGAAUUUAACUGACGAGUGCGUUCGUCAUCGGGCAACUAUACUUGAGUCUUUAAUCAUGUCCGGCAUUUACCUCAAUUUCUCAAAUAAGGCUCUGUUCGCGAUAAUAUUGACGCCUUAGAUAGUCCCGAACCCUAGCCUAUCACUUUAGCUCGACUUGAUAUUUGCCUUUAGUGUCCCUUUAACCUCGAACAUACACACAGCGCAAUGUAGCCUUAUUGUAGGAAUUGUCUUUUCAUUUGCCAUCUUCAGUUGCAUGAGUCCUGCAAUUGCACCACGCGAUGCUCGCAAUCAGCUUACGAUAGGACCAGUGUGGAGAUUUGGACUUCUUGCUUUGCGUCCGCCGUGGUUGCUUAGUGGCUAUGCUGUUGGGCUGCUAAGCACGAGGUCGCGCUAUCGAAUCCCGGCCACGGCGGCCGCAUUUCAAUGGGGCCGAAAUGCGAAAACACCCGUGUACUGCGAUUUAGGUGCACAUUAAAGCAGCCCAUGUCGUCCAAAUUUCCGGAGUCUCCCACUGUGGCGUGCAUCAUCAGAUCGUGGUUUUCGCUCGUAAAACCUCGCAAUUUUUUGUUGGUAUGUGUCAUCUUGGAGGCUUUUCGUUUUUGUAUUAUGCAACUGGUACGUGGAAGCAAAGACACACCCACACAGCACUCAAUAGUUCGCAAUACGUCAGCGAUGCACGAAAUAACUGCACAUUGAGGUCAUAAUAUUGGAGAAUGUGACGUGGUAUAUAUAGAUCGUCGUCUAGAAAUGUGUUGUAGGCCCUUCUGUGCGUUUCGCAUCUAAGUGGGAAAGUUCGCACACUUACGCUCUUUCUUCUUUACUCAAAACAAAUGCCGGAAGCGUUUUUUUUUCACAUCUCCCAGCGAAGGCGCUCUAAAACGCUUCCCCAUUUCAGACAAAUUUUACAGCUUGAAGCUAUGUGACCAUUAAUGUAUGCAAAGAAAUCUGUAACUGCGCCUUGACUUGUGCUGUUAUGUUCGGUUUAUUGAUGUAAGAAAACUGUUGUCCGUUUUACAUUUAUAUAUGUCGAAGUAUAUCGUGAAGCUGAGAAAUUAUCUGUGCUAUGUAAAUUUCGGUAUGUAUUUGACGUGUAUUCCUGUACAAAUGCAUAAAUUUAUGUUAGUGCACUGUAUAUAUGCGGCUGUUUGAAAAAUCUGAUUAAGUGCAGUUAUGUAGCAUUGAUUCGCUUUUAAUUCGCUUUACUCGACAGUCUUGUUUUGCGGUGGUUGUACUCAGCAUGCAUUGCAUUAAACUGCACCUUGCAAAUCAUGUCAAAAUAAAACUUUAUUUUUGUUGCCCGUC
This is a long non-coding RNA of Dermacentor andersoni, 9770 nucleotides long. RefSeq lists it as uncharacterized. The record is from RefSeq and is a predicted model, not a curated record. NCBI's taxonomy places the organism in Eukaryota, Metazoa, Arthropoda, Arachnida, Ixodida, Ixodidae.